Molecule: ribosomal RNA, 253 nt
Filed under: uncultured bacterium
Lineage: Bacteria
Description: partial 16S ribosomal RNA
Rfam family: Bacterial small subunit ribosomal RNA
Source: RNAcentral
UACGGAGGAUCCAAGCGUUAUCCGGAUUUAUUGGGUUUAAAGGGUGCGCAGGCGGGAUAAUAAGUCAGUGGUGAAAGUUUGCAGCUUAACUGUAAAAUUGCCGUUGAAACUGUUAUUCUUGAGUACAGACAAGGUAGGCGGAAUGUAUUGUGUAGCGGUGAAAUGCUUAGAUAUAAUACAGAACCCCGAUUGCGAAGGCAGCUUACCGGGCUGUAACUGACGCUCAGGCACGAAAGCGUGGGGAUCAAACAGG